This 36-nucleotide transfer RNA is filed under the name Schizaea fistulosa. RNAcentral's name for it is "partial tRNA-Phe". Lineage: Eukaryota; Viridiplantae; Streptophyta; Polypodiopsida; Schizaeales; Schizaeaceae. The record is from RNAcentral.
GCCGGGAUAGCUCAGUUGGUAGAGCAGAGGAUGAAU